CAGCUAGAGUUUGAUAGAGGAAAGCAGAAUUUCUAGUGUAGAGGUGAAAUUCGUAGAUAUUAGAAAGAAUACCAAUUGCGAAGGCAGCUUUCUGGAUCAUUACUGACACUGAGGAACGAAAGCAUGGGUAGCGAAGAGGAUUAGAUACCCUCGUAGUCCAUGCCGUAAACGAUGUGUGUUAGACGUUGGAAAUUUAUUUUCAGUGUCGCAGCGAAAGCGAUAAACACACCGCCUGGGGAGUACGACCGCAAGGUUAAAACUCAAAUGAAUUGACGGGGACCCGCACAAGUAGUGGAGCAUGUGGUUUAAUUCGAAGAUACGCGCAGAACCUUACCAACACUUGACAUGUUCGUCGCGACUUUAAGAGAUUAAAGUUUUCGGUUCGGCCGGACGAAACACAGGUGCUGCAUGGCUGUCGUCAGCUCGUGUCGUGAGAUGUUGGGUUAAGUCCCGCAACGAGCGCAACCCUCACUUUUAGUUGCCAUCAUUUAGUUGGGCACUCUGAAAGAACUGCCAGUGAUAAGCUGGAGGAAGGUGGGGAUGACGUCAAGUCCUCAUGGCCCUUACGUGUUGGGCUACACACGUGCUACAAUGGUAUUUACAACAGGAAGCAAGACGGCGACGUUUAGCAAAUCCUUAAAAAAUACCUCAGUUCGGAUUGCACUCUGCAACUCGAGUGCAUGAAGCUGGAAUUACUAGUAAUCGUGGAUCAGCGUGCCACGGUGAAUGCGUUCCCGGGUCUUGUACACACCGCCCGUCACACCAUGGGAGUUGGUUCUACCUUAAGGCAAGGUUUAAAACCCUUGACCACGGUAUAGUCAGCGACUGGGGGUGAAGUCAUAACAAGGUAGCCGUA
This 856-nucleotide ribosomal RNA is filed under the name uncultured bacterium. Its description in RNAcentral is "bacterial SSU rRNA". It matches the Rfam family "Bacterial small subunit ribosomal RNA", at positions 638 to 1504 of the family's 1533-position model. The record is from RNAcentral.